This 352-nucleotide ribosomal RNA is filed under the name Clostridioides difficile. RNAcentral describes it as "partial 23S ribosomal RNA". It matches the Rfam family "Bacterial large subunit ribosomal RNA", at positions 1944 to 2294 of the family's 2925-position model. Lineage: Bacteria; Bacillati; Bacillota; Clostridia; Peptostreptococcales; Peptostreptococcaceae. The record is from RNAcentral.
AACGGUCCUAAGGUAGCGAAAUUCCUUGUCGGGUAAGUUCCGACCCGCACGAAAGGCGUAACGAUUUGGGCACUGUCUCAACAACAGACUCGGUGAAAUUGUAAUUCCGGUGAAGAUGCCGGAUACCGGCGACAGGACGGAAAGACCCCAUGGAGCUUUACUGUAGCUUGACAUUGGGUCUUGGUACUACAUGUACAGGAUAGGUGGGAGGCUUUGAAACCAGGACGCCAGUUUUGGCGGAGCCAUCCUUGGGAUACCACCCUUGUAGUACUGGGACUCUAACCAUAGGCCAUGAAUCUGGUCUUGGGACACUGUCAGGUGGGCAGUUUGACUGGGGCGGUCGCCUCCCAAA